UUUCUUAUUAACAUUCUGACAAUUCAUUGUGAUUCUUGCUGAUGCUUUUUGGGUUCAGAUGAAUUCAUGGCAGUGUUUUUAAAUGCUGCCACCAUGUAUCAACAGUGUUGCAGCGGUGUCUUAGUUGAUUUGUGAUGUGGUGGGCAAGACACUUUUUGAGGCAAAAGCCAAGAAUCAUCACAAAUUCUCCAGCUUGUAGAGUUUGUCAAUGCGUGAAAGUGUAAAACUCACUUUCCUCGCUUUAUUCAGUUUUAUGUUCUGUACCGUGCACAGUAUGUUUUGCUCAAAACCUCUUUCACAUACAUUUUGUCUCUUUUUUUUUGUAAUCAUAAGAUGAAAAAUGUGGAUUUACAGAUGGGCAGUGGAGGUUAAAUUCACAAGUUUAUUGUUUUAAUUGGUGAUAAUGUGGCUUUUAAAACAGUAGAUCAGGGGAACCACGUGGUUUCAUUUGCAGUGUGAAUAUUGAGAUGAAUGUGUUAUAUUGUACAUGUUAGCUACAAAAUAUUAUACCAUUUUGUAAAUCGAGUGCCACAUAUUUCACUUUUAGGUAAGUGACAAUUAGAAUGAGACCUUCUCAGACAUCUCUAGAAAGUGCCUUAGCCAUUACUGACGAUGUCAGACAGGUGGUGCACAGACAGAAACACUUUAAGGGAAAACUGAAAAACAGUAUUUGAGAUGUUGAAAACCAGUUCUUCCAUCUAAUGUUCUGAUAUCAUACCACUUGGAAUUGUCGCACAGUUUUAGCAUUGGGCAGGGCAGAUUACUGGUAUAUCCAGUAUUUGUUCUGUAGAAUGUACACCAGAAACAUUAAACAGGUUUCUCUGUGCUCUAUGAACUGGUUUCAAAGCUUUAACACCAAUAUAAGGUUAUUAACAUUUAUGAACUGGCUGUUGACCACCAGAUAUUCAUCAUCUCCAUUUAUUUUCAUGUAAUCCUGUAUUUCUAGACUAUUUUGUCUUUUUUGUAAAAGAUCAAUAAACAUGUUCACAUAGAAAA
Molecule: long non-coding RNA, 996 nt
Organism: Thalassophryne amazonica
Lineage: Eukaryota; Metazoa; Chordata; Actinopteri; Batrachoidiformes; Batrachoididae
Exons: 2
Source: RefSeq, a predicted model, not a curated record